This 253-nucleotide ribosomal RNA is filed under the name uncultured Oscillospiraceae bacterium. RNAcentral describes it as "partial 16S ribosomal RNA". It matches the Rfam family "Bacterial small subunit ribosomal RNA", at positions 524 to 776 of the family's 1533-position model. Lineage: Bacteria; Bacillati; Bacillota; Clostridia; Eubacteriales; Oscillospiraceae. The record is from RNAcentral.
AACGUAGGGUGCAAGCGUUGUCCGGAAUUACUGGGUGUAAAGGGAGCGCAGGCGGACUGUCAAGUUGGGAGUGAAAACUACGGGCUCAACCCGUAACUUGCUUUCAAAACUGGCGGUCUUGAGUGGUGUAGAGGUAGGCGGAAUUCCCGGUGUAGCGGUGGAAUGCGUAGAUAUCGGGAGGAACACCAGUGGCGAAGGCGGCCUACUGGGCACUAACUGACGCUGAAGCACGAAAGCGUGGGUAUCGAACAGG